AGGGUCAUAGCUCAUUCGGUGAGAGUGCUGUGUUGAUAACGCAGAGGUGGAUGGUUCGAACCCAUCUGGCCCUU
RNAcentral lists this transfer RNA (74 nucleotides) under Gigaspora rosea. RNAcentral's name for it is "tRNA-Ile". It matches the Rfam family "tRNA". Rfam says of the family: Transfer RNA (tRNA) molecules are approximately 80 nucleotides in length. Their secondary structure includes four short double-helical elements and three loops (D, anti-codon, and T loops). The record is from RNAcentral. Lineage: Eukaryota; Fungi; Glomeromycota; Glomeromycetes; Diversisporales; Gigasporaceae.